RNAcentral lists this ribosomal RNA (425 nucleotides) under uncultured bacterium. Its description in RNAcentral is "partial 16S ribosomal RNA". It matches the Rfam family "Bacterial small subunit ribosomal RNA", at positions 354 to 796 of the family's 1533-position model. The record is from RNAcentral.
GUGGGGAAUCUUGCGCAAUGGGCGAAAGCCUGACGCAGCCAUGCCGCGUGAAUGAUGAAGGUCUUAGGAUUGUAAAAUUCUUUCACCGGGGACGAUAAUGACGGUACCCGGAGAAGAAGCUCCGGCUAACUUCGUGCCAGCAGCCGCGGUAAUACGAAGGGGGCUAGCGUUGCUCGGAAUUACUGGGCGUAAAGGGCGCGUAGGCGGACAGCUUAGUCAGAGGUGAAAGCCCAGGGCUCAACCUUGGAAUUGCCUUUGAUACUGGCUGUCUUGAGUUUGGGAGAGGUGAGUGGAACUCCGAGUGUAGAGGUGAAAUUCGUAGAUAUUCGGAAGAACACCAGUGGCGAAGGCGACUCACUGGCCCGUUACUGACGCUGAGGCGCGAAAGCGUGGGGAGCAAACAGGAUUAGAUACCCUGGUAGUCC